UCCAGGGUAGCCUAGUGGACAUGGCAACUGCCUGGUAAGCGGAACACUGUGGGUUCGAUUCCCAUCCCUGGAC
This 73-nucleotide transfer RNA is filed under the name Cordylochernes scorpioides. RNAcentral describes it as "tRNA-Thr". It matches the Rfam family "tRNA". From Rfam's summary of the family: Transfer RNA (tRNA) molecules are approximately 80 nucleotides in length. Lineage: Eukaryota; Metazoa; Arthropoda; Arachnida; Pseudoscorpiones; Chernetidae. The record is from RNAcentral.